RNAcentral lists this ribosomal RNA (371 nucleotides) under uncultured bacterium. Its description in RNAcentral is "bacterial SSU rRNA". It matches the Rfam family "Bacterial small subunit ribosomal RNA", at positions 527 to 896 of the family's 1533-position model. The record is from RNAcentral.
GGAGGGGGCAAGCGUUACUCGGAAUUAUUGGGCGUAAAGGGCGCGUAGGCGGUCUUGUGCGUCGAGGGUGAAAUCCCCGGGCUUAACCCGGGAACUGCCUUCGAUACGGCGAGACUUGAGUCCGGGAGAGGGGAGCAGAAUUCCCAGUGUAGCGGUGAAAUGCGUAGAUAUUGGGAGGAAUACCAGUGGCGAAGGCGGCUCCCUGGACCGGUACUGACGCUGAGGCGCGAAAGCGUGGGUAGCAAACAGGAUUAGAUACCCUGGUAGUCCACGCCGUAAACGAUGGGUGCUUGGUGUCGGGGGUAUCGACCCCUCCGGUGCCGAAGCUAACGCAUUAAGCACCCCGCCUGGGGAGUACGGUCGCAAGGCUG